CCUACGGGUGGCAGCAGUGGGGAAUAUUGCACAAUGGGCGAAAGCCUGAUGCAGCAACGCCGCGUGAAGGAAGAAGGGUUUCGGCUCGUAAACUUCUAUCAACAGGGACGAAGAACGUGACGGUCCCUGAGGAAUAAGCCACGGCUAACUACGUGCCAGCAGCCGCGGUACUACGGAGGUGGCAAGCGUUAUCCGGAUUUACUGGGUGGAAAGGGCGUGUAGGCGGGACUGCAAGUCAGAUGUGAAAACCACGGGCUCAACCUGUGGCCUGCAUUUGAAACUAGAGUUCUUGAGUACGGGAGAGGCAGACGGAAUUCCUAGUGUAGCGGUGAAAUGCGUAGAUAUUAGGAGGAACACCAGUGGCGAAGGCGGUCUGCUGGACAGCAACUGACGCUGAGGCGCGAAAGCGUGGGGAGCAAACAGGAUUAGAUACCCUUGUAGUC
This 443-nucleotide ribosomal RNA is filed under the name uncultured bacterium. RNAcentral describes it as "partial 16S ribosomal RNA". It matches the Rfam family "Bacterial small subunit ribosomal RNA", at positions 338 to 795 of the family's 1533-position model. The record is from RNAcentral.